RNAcentral lists this ribosomal RNA (137 nucleotides) under Burkholderia pyrrocinia. RNAcentral's name for it is "partial 16S ribosomal RNA". It matches the Rfam family "Bacterial small subunit ribosomal RNA", at positions 1 to 133 of the family's 1533-position model. Lineage: Bacteria; Pseudomonadati; Pseudomonadota; Betaproteobacteria; Burkholderiales; Burkholderiaceae. The record is from RNAcentral.
UUAAACUGAAGAGUUUGAUCCUGGCUCAGAUUGAACGCUGGCGGCAUGCCUUACACAUGCAAGUCGAACGGCAGCACGGGUGCUUGCACCUGGUGGCGAGUGGCGAACGGGUGAGUAAUACAUCGGAACAUGUCCUG